This 1731-nucleotide ribosomal RNA is filed under the name Triticum aestivum (bread wheat). RNAcentral's name for it is "partial small subunit ribosomal RNA". Lineage: Eukaryota; Viridiplantae; Streptophyta; Magnoliopsida; Poales; Poaceae. The record is from RNAcentral.
AUGAGGUGGACGGCGUUCGCGUGGGAGAGCGCGUCCCGGGCCUUCAACAACCGCCCCACCUUCACCGGCCUCGUCGUCGUCCUCGCCGCAAGUAGUGGAGGAGGCCUCGUUGCAUAUGCGGACUCUCAGCCGGACCAGCCCCAAGGAUUUAAAAAGAAGAAAGUAGUGGUUCUUGGAACUGGCUGGGCUGGCACCACAUUCCUGAGGAAUCUUGAUAGCAAACUGUACGAUGUCCAGGUCAUUUCACCUCGGAACUACUUUGCAUUCACACCCUUGCUCCCAAGUGUUACCUGUGGAACAGUAGAACCAAGGAGCGUUGUUGAGCCAAUCCGUAGGAUUCUGGAGAAGAAAGGUGGAGACUUCAAAUUCUGGGAAGCAGAGUGCUUCAAGAUUGAUCCAGCAAACAAGAAGAUUCACUGCCGCUCAAAUAUGGGGACAAAUCUUGAUGGAAAUGGCGAGUUCUUAGUUGACUACGACUAUCUGGUGGUAGCGGUUGGAGCUAGGUCUAACACAUUCAAUACUCCCGGUGUGACAGAGAAUUGCCACUUUCUGAAGGAAGUGGAAGAUGCCCAAAAGAUCCGAAGGAGUGUGAUGGACUGCUUUGAGAAGGCAAGCCUCCCAUACCUUAAUGAAGAAGAGAGGAAGAAGAAUCUUCACUUUGUUGUUGUGGGAGGUGGACCUACAGGUGUUGAAUUUGCGGCAGAGUUGCAUGAUUUUGUUACUGAAGAUCUAUCCAAGCUCUAUCCUUCUAUUCAGCAUCUUGUCAAGAUAUCACUGAUCGAAGCUGCAGAUCACAUACUGACUAUGUUCGACAAGAGAAUUACCAACUUUGCUGAGGACAAGUUUGGAAGGGAUGGCAUUGAUGUAAAAACUGGAUAUAAAGUUGUGAAGGUUUCUAAGGAUGCAAUUACCAUGCAAAAUCCAGCUACUGGUGAUAUUGCAGUUCCUUACGGAAUGGCUGUCUGGUCCACUGGUAUUGGGACCCGCCCAUUCGUUGUGGACUUCAUGAAACAAAUUGGCCAGGCUAAUCGUCGUGUCCUCGCUACUGAUGAAUGGCUAAGGGUGCGUGAAUGUGAUGAUGUUUAUGCAGUAGGUGACUGUGCUACCAUAAACCAGCGGAGAGUAAUGGAGGACAUCUCAGAAAUAUUCAGAGUUGCAGACAAAGAUAAAUCUGGAACCUUGACUGUGAAAGAAAUCCAAGACAUCCUGGAGGAUAUCUACGUGAGAUAUCCGCAAGUAAAACUAUACAUGAAGAGCAAGCAACUGAACGGAAUUGCAGAUUUAAUAAGAACUGGCAAAGGUGACACCGAAAAGGAAUCUGUAGAGCUGAACAUUGAAGAGUUUAAGAAGGCUCUUUCACUCGUGGAUUCACAAGUCAAGAAUCUACCUGCAACAGCUCAGGUUGCUGCACAGCAAGGACAGUAUCUUGCGACAUGCUUUAACAAGAUGCAGACUGCUGAACAAAAUCCUGAAGGACCAAUCCGCAUUAGGGGAGAAGGCCGUCAUCGUUUCAACCCCUUCAGGUACAGGCAUUUAGGCCAGUUUGCUCCAUUAGGAGGGGAGCAAACUGCUGCACAGCUCCCGGGUGACUGGGUCUCCAUUGGCCACAGCUCACAGUGGCUCUGGUAUUCCGUCUACGCAACCAAACAAAUAAGCUGGCGCACGAGGGCACUGGUGAUAUCUGACUGGGGCCGUCGCUUCAUCUUCGGUAGGGACUCGAGCGGCAUAUAG